RNAcentral lists this ribosomal RNA (326 nucleotides) under uncultured eukaryote. Its description in RNAcentral is "partial 18S ribosomal RNA". It matches the Rfam family "Eukaryotic small subunit ribosomal RNA", at positions 1470 to 1796 of the family's 1831-position model. The record is from RNAcentral.
CCCUUAGAUGUUCUGGGCCGCACGCGCGCUACACUGAUGCAUUCAACAAGCCUAGCCUUGACCGAGAGGUCCGGGUAAUCUUUGAAACUGCAUCGUGAUGGGGCUAGAUUAUUGCAAUUAUUAAUCUUCAACGAGGAAUGCCUAGUAAGCGUGAUUCAUCAAAUCGCGUUGAUUACGUCCCUGCCCUUUGUACACACCGCCCGUCGCUCCUACCGAUUGAAUGUGUUGGUGAGGAGCUCGGUUUGGCAGCAGUUGGUGGUUCGCCACCGGCUAUUGCUGAGAAGUCCUCCAAACCGCCCCAUUUAGAGGAAGGAGAAGUCGUAACA